GGGUUGCUAACUCAACGGUAGAGU
This 24-nucleotide transfer RNA is filed under the name Hechtia glomerata. Its description in RNAcentral is "partial tRNA-Lys". Lineage: Eukaryota; Viridiplantae; Streptophyta; Magnoliopsida; Poales; Bromeliaceae. The record is from RNAcentral.